RNAcentral lists this ribosomal RNA (497 nucleotides) under uncultured bacterium. RNAcentral's name for it is "partial 16S ribosomal RNA". It matches the Rfam family "Bacterial small subunit ribosomal RNA", at positions 28 to 507 of the family's 1533-position model. The record is from RNAcentral.
GAUGAACGCUGGCGGCGUGCCUAAUACAUGCAAGUCGAGCGAACAGAUGAGGAGCUUGCUCCUCUGACGUUAGCGGCGGACGGGUGAGUAACACGUGGAUAACCUACCUAUAAGACUGGGAUAACUUCGGGAAACCGGAGCUAAUACCGGAUAAUAUAUUGAACCGCAGGGUUCAAUAGUGAAAGACGGUUUUGCUGUCUCUUAUAGAUGGAUCCGCGCCGCAUUAGCUAGUUGGUAAGGUAACGGCUUACCAAGGCAACGAUGCGUAGCCGACCGGAGAGGGUGAUCGGCCACACUGGAACUGAGACACGGUCCAGACUCCUACGGGAGGCAGCAGUAGGGAAUCUUCCGCAAUGGGCGAAGGCCUGACGGAGCAACGCCGCGUGAGUGAUGAAGGUCUUCGGAUCGUAAAACUCUGUUAUUAGGGAAGAACAAAUGUGUAAGUAACUAUGCACGUCUUGACGGUACCUAAUCAGAAAGCCACGGCUAACUACGUG